Molecule: non-coding RNA, 176 nt
Organism: Clostridium sp. CAG:221
Lineage: Bacteria; Bacillati; Bacillota; Clostridia; Eubacteriales; Clostridiaceae
Source: Rfam
GAAGUAGAUAGAGGUUGCGAUAUUUAAGAGUAGAUUUACGGAGGUAAGCACAAAGAUGUAAAUUGAAAGGAAGUUUCGCCGAAACAUAUGGUUGAUGCUUUGAAACUAUAGUGUUGGGGUUAUGUAAAAUAUACAUAACACUGUCACAAAUUCAUUUGUGAAGAGCUAUUACUUAA